Long non-coding RNA from Solea senegalensis (Senegalese sole), 529 nucleotides. RefSeq lists it as uncharacterized. Lineage: Eukaryota; Metazoa; Chordata; Actinopteri; Pleuronectiformes; Soleidae. The record is from RefSeq and is a predicted model, not a curated record. The transcript is spliced from 2 exons.
UGUUGUAAUUGCCUGCACACGUGUCAAGUGGGAGUGAUCGCCAUCAUGUCUGGUCUUGGUGAAGGCCUGACGUCAUCACUAUCAGUAAACAACAGGUUGUCUCAUCUGCAUUCAAAUCACCUCGCACUCACUCUCAUCAGCAGCUGUGGUGGUAAUAUCACGGUCGCUGUGAUGCACGUCAUUACACAAUAAUCAUCAUGAUUAUUGUAAUCGGCGCCUUUAACUUUAUAUAUAACGAUAUUUAUACAAAUAUAUAAAGAUUUAUCUGUCCCAUAUGUGAAGAAUGAGUCACGUAUAGUAACGAUUAGCCACGUUGUCGUCAAGGACGGUCAAGAUCCAGAUGAUAAUCAUCCUCCUGGCAAAUAUUCGUACGUUUAUGUCCUGUUUUAAAUGUUGUAAGACAAAAUUGAAUAGCUUUGCACAAGCAGAGUUAAAACCAGAGUGGUAAAUAAUAUGGGACCUGAUAUUCAAACCCCUGUUGUAAAGAAACAUUUUACCUUUUUACUCUAAUUAAAUGGGUGUGAUAUGA